RNAcentral lists this ribosomal RNA (481 nucleotides) under uncultured bacterium. RNAcentral describes it as "partial 16S ribosomal RNA". It matches the Rfam family "Bacterial small subunit ribosomal RNA", at positions 28 to 507 of the family's 1533-position model. The record is from RNAcentral.
GAUGAACGCUGGCGGCGUGCUUAACACAUGCAAGUCGAACGAAGCACCUUAUUUGAUUUUCUUCGGGUCUGAUUAUUUUGUGACUGAGUGGCGGACGGGUGAGUAACGCGUGGGUAUUCUGCCUUGUACUGGGGGAUAACAGUUGGAAACGGCUGCUAAUACCGCAUAUGCGUACAGCAUCGCAUGAUGCAGUGUGAAAAACUACGGUGGAAUAAGAUGAACCCGCGUUGGAUUAGCUAGUCGGUGAGGUAACGGGCCACCAAGGCGACGACCCAUAGCCGACCAGAGAAAGUAGCCCCCCACCUUGGAGCUGAGCCGCGUCCCCAGAUACUGCGGGAAGCAGCAGUAAGAGAUAUAGCACGAUCAGCAAAAGCCUGAAGCACCCACGCCGCGUGAGCGAAGAAGUAAUUCGGUAUGUACAGCUCUAUCAGCACAGAAUAUAAUGACGGUACCUGACGAAGAAGCGCCGGCUAAUUACGUG